CAUGCUCUCUAUCAGGAGGUGGUGGUGUGGACAGCUGUUGGAGACCUUUAUGCUUGAAAGCCCUGCAGAACUAGCUGGCUCCUUCUCACCCUCUCCAUCUCCCCAUCUCAGUCACACCUUCCAAUCACUAAGCAGUGAAAGCCCUGCAGGACUAGCUGGCACACCAAGCUCACCCUCUCCAUCUCCCCAUCUCAGCCACACGCUCCAAUCUGGCACAACAGAGGACAGGCCAUUCUUACCACCCGAAGUCCUUCAGCAAAUUGUACAAGAGACGCUGAGACUGGACAUGGCGAUGCUUGGCGUGUUCAACAGGGUUUCAAACACAUUCCGAGAACUAAUCAAGCCUCUCCAUCCUUCCAUAUCUAUAAAUGACAGUUU
Long non-coding RNA from Gadus morhua (Atlantic cod), 378 nucleotides. RefSeq lists it as uncharacterized. The transcript is spliced from 3 exons. The record is from RefSeq and is a predicted model, not a curated record. Lineage: Eukaryota; Metazoa; Chordata; Actinopteri; Gadiformes; Gadidae.